GAGAUAAUGAAAAUUUAUGAUAUAUUUCUAAUUGUUAUCUUUGGGAUGCAUAAAUAUAUAUAUUUAAGAAAAUCUAACUUGACUUAAUCAUUUGGUUUUCAUCCCAUAGUACUGAAUCAUCUCAACAUAUCUUUACUAAAUGUUUAAUGAACUUUCCAGUCUCAGUUGCCUUCUCUUUGAAAUGUAUCUUGUCAUUUUCUUCAUUUUCUGGAAACAGAUACUUACGGUCGAGGACUUAUAGGCAGAUCCAUGUGCAAAUUGUGGCUCUAAAUAUUACUAUAUGUAUUACCUUAGGUCACUUCUUUAACCUUCCC
This 314-nucleotide long non-coding RNA is filed under the name Urocitellus parryii (Arctic ground squirrel). Its description in RNAcentral is "lncRNA (ENSUPAG00010019858.1)". Lineage: Eukaryota; Metazoa; Chordata; Mammalia; Rodentia; Sciuridae. The record is from RNAcentral.